AUUAUUAUUUAUAUGUACAUUUACAUUUGGAGGUACUACUGGAG
This 44-nucleotide small RNA is filed under the name Plasmodium falciparum 3D7. Its description in RNAcentral is "Pfa-mtR6752". Lineage: Eukaryota; Apicomplexa; Aconoidasida; Haemosporida; Plasmodiidae. The record is from RNAcentral.